RNAcentral lists this long non-coding RNA (1570 nucleotides) under Mus musculus (house mouse). Its description in RNAcentral is "long non-coding RNA chr19:22704896-22706466". Lineage: Eukaryota; Metazoa; Chordata; Mammalia; Rodentia; Muridae. The record is from RNAcentral.
UCUUGAUCAACUGGUGACCUAAAGUCCUGGAGUAAUGGGUGGCCAAGGUCUCCUAUGCCCCACAAAACUAGAGUGCAAAAUGAAGACAAUUUUGAAAAGCAUGAGACUUGCAUCAGUUAUACUCAGGCAUGCUAUAUCUACAUUGAAUGGAAGUAAUAUGUACCUACUUCGUACUUACUGGAGCUUCUUGGAGAUUAGACUUUCCACAGUUUGAUCCCUGUACUAUCCUAUUCAGUGGUCCAAAUUGGUCUCAUUCAGCAAGACAGAAAUUCACAUUGUUCAAGUGACCAAUACUCUUAGCAUCUGAUAGUAAAAUGAGUUGGAAACUUCUAAACAGAGCACCAAGCCAGAGCAAUGCCUAAGUGACCACAUUUGAAAUGCACAUUGGGAAAAUCUCCUGUUAUUAGCAAUAGUAUCCCUUAGCAAUUGGUAGAUACACAAUAGACAUCAAAAUUGCUUAGCAUAGGUUGAUGGGAUGGCUCAGUGAGUAAAAGCGCUUGCACCCAAGCCUGCUGACCUGACUUUCAUUCCUGGGACUUACAUAGUAAAAAGAGAUCUCACUCUCAAGCUGCCUGCUCACCUCUACACACACCUCAUUGCAUGUGCCUAUCCCUGCCCCCUAAAUAAUAAAACAAUUAAUUACUUAUCCUGACAACUCAAAUAGCUCCUAAUUUCAAAUCAAAUUUAAUAGGAAUUGACUAAUUGCUCUAGGCACAAUUAUCUAUGAAAGUGAAGCUGCUGACUCAGCAGGUCAGGUUUCUAUUCUGCUAUAUAGAAAUAUAACAUCAAAUUUAUUUAAUUUAAUUUAGACUCCAUUUAAUUGAAAUUUCUAGAUAAUGUUAAAAUGGUGUUCAGCCCAUGAUUUUAGUAAUAAUUUUACCUCCCAAACCAUGUAUUCAAUUUUCUAAAUUUACUUAAAUACUUGUCUUUUGUUCUCCAAGAGAAAGGCACAAUAAGUUAUAGGUGAUGGGCAAUAUUUAAAAACCAAGGCAGCGAAUGUCUGUGAUUUUCCUCUGAUAUGCAUGAUAGCCUGGUGUGGUCUAUACAGAAACUUACAUUUCUCCGAUUAAGAAUUGGUCCUGGCCAAGAGGGUACUAUCGUGUAGAUGCCCUGAGCGACUCACCAGUUGUUGUACUUUCUCAUUUAUCAUGGCCUAAUCCUUCCCCACCAUCUCUUUGUUUUCCAUAGCAAAUUUAAGUAUAUUUUAUUUCCUAUUGGCUCCAAACUAAAUAACAGACACAUUGCUUUAGUCCUACCUUGUGCUGCUCUAUUUGUAAUAGAGUAUCGGAGAAGGAGAAAUUUAUAAAGCACAGACUCGUUUAUUUUACAGUUCUAGACAAUGGGUAAUUCUGGUUUAGAGGCUUGCUGCCAGGGAAGCCCCUAUUUCAGUAUCAUCCUGCUGCCGUAUGUAUAAGGGCAAGAAAAUGUGUCCACGUGCUUACCAACCCUUAUUUCAGGACCUCACUCCUGCUAAGAGCAUGAAUCUGUUUGAGAGGAUAGUCUCCUCCUGACUUAACUAUCUCUUAAAGGCCCUAUCUCUCCAAACUGCUGCAUUGAAGGUGACAUUUUC